CUCACACACACACACAUACGCACACAUACAUUUUUCCUUGCUCUGCUUUUCUGUACUUUCUGCCGACCUGCUUACUCUCCACCUUCUCCUCUCCCUUCCUCUUCCCCAGCACCUUUUUUCAUUGUGGUGUGGUAAACUCUCCGCUCUGGCUGUGUCCCACAACUGCCGUGUCCUGCUCCUCGCUUUCCUCACAGAACACAGAGGACGGACACAAGGAUGCUCCGUAAUGCAGAGGAAGAGGCCAGCGGUCCUGGAUGCUGACCCAGGUGACACACACUCUGCAGAAGUGUGUAUGCCAGCAGUAUCACUGCAUUGCUGUCCAUUUCAGUGUGUAUCCCAGCACAAACAUGGCAUCUCUGUUCAUUUAGCUUCCCACUAACUGCCGGAGGGAGGGCAGCGGAAAGAGCACGGCGCAGGUGCGAGAGGACAGCAGAGGGGAAGGAGGGAUCCAGGGGGAUUCAAAGUCCAGUCAGCCUGAUGAUGCCCUCCUCAGGGCCUCUGUGCCCCCCGAGUUCCCUGUCCAUUCCUUCACAGUGUCCAGGUCAGAGUCCCCGCAUGCUGAUGAAUUCAGCCAUUGUGCUGUCAGUCCCAUAACCUGUGUAUUAAACAGUUCCAAUGUGUCCCUGGUCCUCUGUGGUGUCACAGCCAAUACCCAUAAUGUCACAAAGGCCUUUUCAGUUUGUGUUGUGUUGUACUGUAUUGUCUGACAAUUUGUCUGACGUUUCUUGUACUAUGUGUUUGUAUCUGUGCACGCAAUCAAAUUUCCCCUCAGGAUCAAUAAAGUACGCAAAGAUCGAUCAAUCUA
Molecule: long non-coding RNA, 805 nt
Organism: Paramormyrops kingsleyae
Lineage: Eukaryota; Metazoa; Chordata; Actinopteri; Osteoglossiformes; Mormyridae
Source: RefSeq, a predicted model, not a curated record